AUUGGAUUGGUGCAACGUUGCAAGCUGAUUGGUCAAAAGUUGCGCUUUUACGCGUAGCAUCACUCUCAUCCUUUCCCAAUGGAAGCAGCGGCGUUGUAUUUACCCACACUCUCACUCUUUUCUAGGUCUGUAACGACAGUUGACCCUGUUCUCUCUUGCCCACCCUCCUUCUCCAAGACCCUUUGUCAAGAUAUACAGUGGUGCUUGAAAGUUUGUGAACCC
Long non-coding RNA from Polypterus senegalus (gray bichir), 222 nucleotides. RefSeq lists it as uncharacterized. NCBI's taxonomy places the organism in Eukaryota, Metazoa, Chordata, Cladistia, Polypteriformes, Polypteridae. The transcript has 3 exons. The record is from RefSeq and is a predicted model, not a curated record.